CAUUUGAUCAAUUUAAUUGCUGGAUAAAAGUGUUAGUUACUUUAAGAAUCUUACUAACCCCAAACGUGAACAGAAGUGUGUAUGUUUUAAACAGCCAGUGCAGGUUUACAGGACAUGCAGACAAAGUUGAAUGUGUUCUGCCCUUGUCCAAUCAAUGUUAUUAGCCUCUUACAUAUGCAAAUAAGAAUGUUAACGUAGGGUUUACCAUUGUACAGUGAGAAAUCUCAAAACUGAAUUACCACAAUUAAGAAUGAACAAUGUAAAACAAGGUAAUCCUGACUUGUUUUUUUUUUUUUCUCUCCAAGUUGUGGAACUUUGAGACCAGUAAAAAGAAAGCCGAAUGCAAUGGGCACCUGAGUUGGGUUCAUUGUGUCCAGUUUUCACCUGACGGCUCACUCCUGUUGUCCUCCUCUGAUGAUCAGACCAUCAGGCUGUGGGAGACUGAUCGGGUUCACACCUCCUCUGCUGUGGCUCUGAAGAGGGAUUCUGAUGUUCUCUUCUCCCAAAGUGAUGUUACAAUAGUGGCAUCAGACAGCAGAAACCGAUUACAGGUACGGACCGGAUUGGCAGGUGCCGUUGUGUUUGAGAGCGAAGAGUUGCCAUCCAGGAUUCGCUGUACUUGCAUCAGCAGAAAUGCUUCGCGUGUGGCCCUGGGAACUGACAACGGAACUGUACAGGUAUUUCAGCUCACCUGUGGGGUAUCGUCAUUGCCAGUGCUCUCUUCCUAAUGUUCUACUCAAUUUCUUGGGUUUUUGGAUGAGCAUGCAAAGCACUCUGGGUAAAAAUAGCCUUCAGGAUGCUUGUGGGUGUUUUGACUCCCCUCUGGCAAUGAGAUUUGUCAUGGCUGUCAACUGCACUCAGCCCUCUAAUCUCUCGCCCUUCCUUUCCCAAACCCAUUCCUUCCCUUCCGUCUCUACUGAAUGUCGUCAUGCUGGAGGCGAGCGUUGUCCUCCUGUGUUGCACAGCGUGUACUGUAGUGUAAUAGAUGUGACUGGUACAACGGGGAUGCCUAGAGGUAACAGCUGACUGAUAAAUAAGCAGUGUUCUCUCAAUCUUACGUUACACCUGUUUACUGCCCAAUAACCAUUUAUUUAGAUUGCUCCUCUCCAUCUCUGCCUGAUUGUGUGUUCACCUGAAAGAGAGAUGGACAGAUGGAUUUAGAAAAGCGGUAAAAUUUCAUUUUAAAUGAAUAAAACCGUAAACAAUGUAGCCGGUUUAGUACAAAUUAAGUCAG
Sinocyclocheilus grahami is the source of this 1234-nucleotide long non-coding RNA. RefSeq lists it as uncharacterized. The record is from RefSeq and is a predicted model, not a curated record. Lineage: Eukaryota; Metazoa; Chordata; Actinopteri; Cypriniformes; Cyprinidae. The transcript has 3 exons.